This is a long non-coding RNA of Frieseomelitta varia, 384 nucleotides long. RefSeq lists it as uncharacterized. The record is from RefSeq and is a predicted model, not a curated record. NCBI's taxonomy places the organism in Eukaryota, Metazoa, Arthropoda, Insecta, Hymenoptera, Apidae. The transcript is spliced from 6 exons.
GACGUUGCGUAUAGAAACCUGCAAAUGCUUGAAAAAAAACAGAAUGAAAAUCGACGUAAUUUUAAUAAGAAGAGAAAAGAAGCAAGGGAAUAUAGAGAAGGAGAUUUAGUAGCUGUUAAACAAAUGCAGCAAGGACUAGGACUAAAGCUAGCGAAUAAAAGUUUCUUGGACCGUAUAGAGUAAUAAAAAUAAUGCGAAAUGACCGAUGAACUUGUUGAGAAAGUCGGUGAACAUGAGGGAUCAUUGCAAACGUCCACAGCGUCGGAUUUUAUGAAAUUGUGGAUGCCUGAUGUGAGUGAUGUGAUGCUUCAAGCAAUGAUUUAACUGACGAUUUGGGUGACAUUCGGGGGCGAAUGUCCGUUUAAAAUGACCGAAUGUAGGAAG